Long non-coding RNA from Haplochromis burtoni (Burton's mouthbrooder), 2108 nucleotides. RefSeq lists it as uncharacterized. NCBI's taxonomy places the organism in Eukaryota, Metazoa, Chordata, Actinopteri, Cichliformes, Cichlidae. The transcript is spliced from 4 exons. The record is from RefSeq and is a predicted model, not a curated record.
UGCACGUUUAAAUUCAUAUACAGAUGUUUUGACGCCCACGAGAGUUAUUCACGGUUUUCCAUUCUCACCUCUGGAAUGAACGUAGGAUGCUGAUCAGAAUUUUUAACCGCUUCCUCGCCACGGCUGAUGAUGCCACAGUGCAGCUUCUUUGUCUCACGCUGGGAGCUUGUGAAGCGGGAUUCCAGGAAGCUUUGAGCAUGAGCAAACAUCCUGCUGAAGCACAGCUGACCUAUCAAAGUCCAAAGGCGGGCGCGCUUCUGAUGGAUUUAUCCGUGUCUACGUGUGCAUCUGUGUGUAUGUGAAUGGAGAUGUGCGAAGAGCAGCCUUCUGUAGUACUCGUGGAGACUUGUGUUUGGGUCUGCUCCUAGGGGAGUCCCGGGAGUCCCGAGUUCGUGAGUUUAUGUGUGGAUGAUUUUUCUUGCUGUGGAUUGAUUUAUUCUGUGUUGAAAUAGCUGAGAAGUGGAACUCCACAUAAGGAUUAGACAAUCAGGAAGCUUUGCAGUGUUUAAAACCAACCUCACGCUUCUAAUAUGUCAUUUAUCUAAACAUAUAACCUUUAUUAAUGUUUUGAUGCAUGCUCAAUCAUCCAGGUAAGGAAAUCCCCCGGAGAAGUCACCUGGAUGAGCAAUGAAACGUUUCUCCCACUGAAAACGUUACGUCCAGAUGAACAGAAUCAACUUUUUGAAAACCUUUAUUAAUAGACACUAUUCCAAAGAAGAUCAAAUGUUUCUGGUUGAAGUAUAAUUUCUUUGGCUUGUACUUAUUUUUUUAAAACUAUGUUUAACUUGAGAAACAUAAUAUGUUUUAUUUAUAUAAGGGAUUGAUAUAGAUCCCAGCUGGAUACACAACUACCUGCUGAGGUGAUGAAAGUAGCUUCUGUAACUGAUACAGUGGAUUGAUGUGAUUGGAUAAUAUGGACUAUUCUUUUAGGACAGGCCGUAACUUGUUCAUUGGUCUUGGAUGGGGUUAGCCUUGAAGUCGAAACAUGUUGAGGGAACACUAAACAGAAGAUGAUUUUCUUCGCCCUGCUCUGCCGUUGGCCCUGAUGACUGCAGUUACAGCUCUAGUGGGUAAACUGACUGCACUUAGAAGUGUUAUUAAUGAACUGAAGUCAUUAUUCCAAUUAAAUCCCCUUUAAUUUCCUUCUGUGAGUUUCCUCAGCGGGCACCUCAUCCAUCUUCACAGAUUGCUGCUCCUCAAAGCCGUGGAGGCGUGGGGCGGGGGUGCGAUGUAAUCGAAAAUGAUGGUGACCUACAGAGACAUGGACUGAGAUACAAGGCCUGCCCUUGUCUGAGCGUGAGUGACUGGCUGGCACAAUAAACCAGAUCCACACGGAGGCCUAAGAGGAAUCCACAGUCAUGGUUAAUUUCUUUGUUUAUGAGGCCAUCACUACUGUGGGGAGGGAUGAGAUGUCAGUGAAAAGGACAGUCUCUCUGCACCUGCAGCUAUUGCAUGUUUAUGUUCAUAUGGAUGUCACUAUAAAGGGAACAGAUCUGGAAAUCUCCAUUACACUCCUGCUUCACUCUGUAGCAAAACAUCUCUGAUUGUGAGCUAAAAAAAUCAGGUACAGGCUGAUACAGUCACACAGUUCUGCAUCACAGCUGUAGCCAGAUGCUGAUAAUCAGAUGCAUCUGGUAAACUGAUCAUCAGCAAUUGAGCACAUCUAAAAAAGAGGGAUUUUUCUAUAAUGUAAUCAUUUGUCAUUAGCCUAAUUUACAUAAAAAGUUAAUGGUAUAAAGUUUGAACAUAUAGAAUGGUUGCUGUGAAAAUUUAGCUUCAUAUAUCAAAUAGUGUUCAAGACACAUUUUGAAAAAAAUCUGCAGCAAUGUUUGAUUAGAAGUAUCUCAAAAACUAUUAAAGAUAAAGGCCAGGAAUUAUCACUGGUCCUUACUAUCAAAAUCAAUCAGGGUCUGUAAUUUGGGACACGUAAUAAUAAUAAUACUGGAUUGCAUUCAAAGUCCUGUAUUUGAGCAAAUACUAACACAAGAGUUUAUACUGGAAAAGACGUGAUGAUUUCUGAGUGAUAUAUCAUUCAAUCACACAAUACUGUAAAAUAAAGCACGUGGAAAAGCUCCAGCCCAACAAUCUGAUGUUCACAAGGCAUAAAC